Long non-coding RNA from Oncorhynchus tshawytscha (Chinook salmon), 1696 nucleotides. The record is from Ensembl. NCBI's taxonomy places the organism in Eukaryota, Metazoa, Chordata, Actinopteri, Salmoniformes, Salmonidae.
GUGGGGUGGUGAUGAUGGUAGUUGUGGGGUGGUGAGAAUGGUUGAUAUGGGGUGGUGGUGAUGGUAGUAAUGGGGUUAAGGUGGUGGUGAUGGUGGUUAUGCGGUAGUGAGAAUGGUAGUUAUGUGGUGUUGAUAGUGGAUAUGGGGUGGUGAUGGUAUGUAUGGGGUGGUGAUGGUGGUGGUGAUUGUACUUAUGGGGUGUGAUGUUGGUUGUUAUGGGGUGGUGAUGGUGGUGAGAAUGGUAGUUAUGGAGUGGUGAUGAUGGUUAUGGGGUGGUGGUGGUGAUGGUAGUUAUGGGGUGGUUAUGGUAGCUAUGGGGUAGUGAUGAUGGUGAUGAUUUUGGUGAUAGUAGUUAUGGGGUUGGUGAUGGUAGUUAUGGGGUGUUCAUGAUGGUAGUUGUGGGGUGGUGAUGAUGGUAGUUGUGGGGUGGUGAGAAUGGUUGAUAUGGGGUGGUGGUGAUGGUAGUAAUGGGGUUAAGGUGGUGGUGAUGGUGGUUACGCGGUAGUGAGAAUGGUAGUUAUGUGGUGUUGAUAGUGGAUAUGGGGUGGUGAUGGUAUGUAUGGGGUGGUGAUGGUGGUGGUGAUUGUACUUAUGGGGUGUGAUGUUGGUUGUUAUGGGGUGGUGAUGGUGGGUGUGAUGUUUUUUUUUGGGGUGGUGUUUGUGGUUAUGGGGUGAAGGUGGUAUUUAUGGGGUGGUGAUGGUGAUGAUGGUAGUUAUGGGGUGGUGAUGGUGGUUAUGGGCUGGUGAUGGUGGUAAUUAUGGGGUGGUGAUGGUGGUGAUGGUAGUUAUGGGCUGGUGAUGGUAGUUAUGGGCUGGUGAUGGUAGUUAUGGGCUGGUGAUAAUGGUGGUGAUGGUGGUUAUGGUAGUUAUGGGGUGGUGGUGGUGGUUGUGAUGGUAGUUAUAGGGUGGCCAUGGUUGUGGUGGUUGUGGCGGUGGUGGCGGUGGUGGUAGUGGUGGUGGUGGUGGUGGUGAGGAUGGUAGUUAUGGGGGGAUGAUGGUGGUGAUGGUAGUUAUGGGGUGGUGGUAAUGGAAGUUAUGGGGUAUUGAUGGUAGUUAUGGAGUGGUGAUGUAGUUAUGGCGUGGUGAUGGUAGUUAUGGGGUGGUGAUGAUAGUUAUGGGGUGGUGGUGUUGGUGAUGAUGGUUGUUUGGUGGUGGUGAUGGUAGUUGUGGGGUGGUGAUGAUGGUAGAUUUGGGGUGGUGAGGAUGGUGGUCAUGGUAGUUAUGGGGUGGUGAAGGUUGUUAUAAGGUGGUGGUGAUGGUUAUGUUGUGGUGAUUGUAGUUAUGGUGUGGUGGUGGUGGUGGUGAUGGGGUGGUGAUGGUAGUUUUUGGGUGGUGAUGAUAGUUAUGGGGUGGUGAUGGUAAUGAUGGUAGUUAUGGGAUGGUGGUGAUGGUAGUUAUGUGGUGGUGAUGGUAUUAUGGGGUGCUGAUGGUAGUUUUGGGGUGGUGAUGGUAGUUAUGGGGUUUUGGUGGUAGUUAUGGGGUGGUGAUGGUACUUAUGGGGUUGUGAUGGUGGUAGUUAUGGGGUGGUGAUGGGAGUUAUGGGGUGGUGAAGAUAUUAUGGGGUGCUGAUGGUUGUUAUGGGGUGGUUAUGGUAGUUGUGAUGGUAGUUAUAUGGUGGCCAUGGUGGUGGUGGUUGUGGCAGUGGUGGCGGUGGUGGUGGUGGUGGUGGGGAUGGUAGUUAUGGGGGGAUGAUGGU